RNAcentral lists this ribosomal RNA (399 nucleotides) under uncultured bacterium. Its description in RNAcentral is "bacterial SSU rRNA". It matches the Rfam family "Bacterial small subunit ribosomal RNA", at positions 355 to 771 of the family's 1533-position model. The record is from RNAcentral.
UGGGGAAUAUUGGACAAUGGGGGCAACCCUGAUCCAGCAACGCCGCGUGGAUGAAGAAGGCCUUCGGGUUGUAAAGUCCUUUCGGCAGGGACGAUGAUGACGGUACCUGCAGAAGAAGCCCCGGCUAACUUCGUGCCAGCAGCCGCGGUAAUACGAAGGGGGCUAGCGUUGUUCGGAAUUACUGGGCGUAAAGGGCGCGUAGGCGGACCUGUCAGUCAGGGGUGAAAUCCCGGGGCUCAACCUCGGAACUGCCUUUGAUACUGCGGGUCUUGAGGACGGGAGAGGGUCGUGGAAUUCCCAGUGUAGAGGUGAAAUUCGUAGAUAUUGGGAAGAACACCGGUGGCGAAGGCGGCGACCUGGACCGUAUCUGACGCUGAGGCGCGAAAGCGUGGGGAGCAA